This 2930-nucleotide ribosomal RNA is filed under the name Escherichia coli. RNAcentral's name for it is "23S ribosomal RNA". It matches the Rfam family "Bacterial large subunit ribosomal RNA". The record is from RNAcentral. Lineage: Bacteria; Pseudomonadati; Pseudomonadota; Gammaproteobacteria; Enterobacterales; Enterobacteriaceae.
GGGUUGUGAGGUUAAGCGACUAAGCGUACACGGUGGAUGCCCUGGCAGUCAGAGGCGAUGAAGGACGUGCUAAUCUGCGAUAAGCGUCGGUAAGGUGAUAUGAACCGUUAUAACCGGCGAUUUCCGAAUGGGGAAACCCAGUGUGUUUCGACACACUAUCAUUAACUGAAUCCAUAGGUUAAUGAGGCGAACCGGGGGAACUGAAACAUCUAAGUACCCCGAGGAAAAGAAAUCAACCGAGAUUCCCCCAGUAGCGGCGAGCGAACGGGGAGCAGCCCAGAGCCUGAAUCAGUGUGUGUGUUAGUGGAAGCGUCUGGAAAGGCGCGCGAUACAGGGUGACAGCCCCGUACACAAAAAUGCACAUAUUGUGAGCUCGAUGAGUAGGGCGGGACACGUGGUAUCCUGUCUGAAUAUGGGGGGACCAUCCUCCAAGGCUAAAUACUCCUGACUGACCGAUAGUGAACCAGUACCGUGAGGGAAAGGCGAAAAGAACCCCGGCGAGGGGAGUGAAAAAGAACCUGAAACCGUGUACGUACAAGCAGUGGGAGCACGCUUAGGCGUGUGACUGCGUACCUUUUGUAUAAUGGGUCAGCGACUUAUAUUCUGUAGCAAGGUUAACCGAAUAGGGGAGCCGAAGGGAAACCGAGUCUUAACUGGGCGUUAAGUUGCAGGGUAUAGACCCGAAACCCGGUGAUCUAGCCAUGGGCAGGUUGAAGGUUGGGUAACACUAACUGGAGGACCGAACCGACUAAUGUUGAAAAAUUAGCGGAUGACUUGUGGCUGGGGGUGAAAGGCCAAUCAAACCGGGAGAUAGCUGGUUCUCCCCGAAAGCUAUUUAGGUAGCGCCUCGUGAAUUCAUCUCCGGGGGUAGAGCACUGUUUCGGCAAGGGGGUCAUCCCGACUUACCAACCCGAUGCAAACUGCGAAUACCGGAGAAUGUUAUCACGGGAGACACACGGCGGGUGCUAACGUCCGUCGUGAAGAGGGAAACAACCCAGACCGCCAGCUAAGGUCCCAAAGUCAUGGUUAAGUGGGAAACGAUGUGGGAAGGCCCAGACAGCCAGGAUGUUGGCUUAGAAGCAGCCAUCAUUUAAAGAAAGCGUAAUAGCUCACUGGUCGAGUCGGCCUGCGCGGAAGAUGUAACGGGGCUAAACCAUGCACCGAAGCUGCGGCAGCGACGCUGAUGCGUUGUUGGGUAGGGGAGCGUUCUGUAAGCCUGUGAAGGUGUGCUGUGAGGCAUGCUGGAGGUAUCAGAAGUGCGAAUGCUGACAUAAGUAACGAUAAAGCGGGUGAAAAGCCCGCUCGCCGGAAGACCAAGGGUUCCUGUCCAACGUUAAUCGGGGCAGGGUGAGUCGACCCCUAAGGCGAGGCCGAAAGGCGUAGUCGAUGGGAAACAGGUUAAUAUUCCUGUACUUGGUGUUACUGCGAAGGGGGGACGGAGAAGGCUAUGUUGGCCGGGCGACGGUUGUCCCGGUUUAAGCGUGUAGGCUGGUUUUCCAGGCAAAUCCGGAAAAUCAAGGCUGAGGCGUGAUGACGAGGCACUACGGUGCUGAAGCAACAAAUGCCCUGCUUCCAGGAAAAGCCUCUAAGCAUCAGGUAACAUCAAAUCGUACCCCAAACCGACACAGGUGGUCAGGUAGAGAAUACCAAGGCGCUUGAGAGAACUCGGGUGAAGGAACUAGGCAAAAUGGUGCCGUAACUUCGGGAGAAGGCACGCUGAUAUGUAGGUGAAGUCCCUCGCGGAUGGAGCUGAAAUCAGUCGAAGAUACCAGCUGGCUGCAACUGUUUAUUAAAAACACAGCACUGUGCAAACACGAAAGUGGACGUAUACGGUGUGACGCCUGCCCGGUGCCGGAAGGUUAAUUGAUGGGGUCAGCGCAAGCGAAGCUCUUGAUCGAAGCCCCGGUAAACGGCGGCCGUAACUAUAACGGUCCUAAGGUAGCGAAAUUCCUUGUCGGGUAAGUUCCGACCUGCACGAAUGGCGUAAUGAUGGCCAGGCUGUCUCCACCCGAGACUCAGUGAAAUUGAACUCGCUGUGAAGAUGCAGUGUACCCGCGGCAAGACGGAAAGACCCCGUGAACCUUUACUAUAGCUUGACACUGAACAUUGAGCCUUGAUGUGUAGGAUAGGUGGGAGGCUUAGAAGUGUGGACGCCAGUCUGCAUGGAGCCGACCUUGAAAUACCACCCUUUAAUGUUUGAUGUUCUAACGUUGACCCGUAAUCCGGGUUGCGGACAGUGUCUGGUGGGUAGUUUGACUGGGGCGGUCUCCUCCUAAAGAGUAACGGAGGAGCACGAAGGUUGGCUAAUCCUGGUCGGACAUCAGGAGGUUAGUGCAAUGGCAUAAGCCAGCUUGACUGCGAGCGUGACGGCGCGAGCAGGUGCGAAAGCAGGUCAUAGUGAUCCGGUGGUUCUGAAUGGAAGGGCCAUCGCUCAACGGAUAAAAGGUACUCCGGGGAUAACAGGCUGAUACCGCCCAAGAGUUCAUAUCGACGGCGGUGUUUGGCACCUCGAUGUCGGCUCAUCACAUCCUGGGGCUGAAGUAGGUCCCAAGGGUAUGGCUGUUCGCCAUUUAAAGUGGUACGCGAGCUGGGUUUAGAACGUCGUGAGACAGUUCGGUCCCUAUCUGCCGUGGGCGCUGGAGAACUGAGGGGGGCUGCUCCUAGUACGAGAGGACCGGAGUGGACGCAUCACUGGUGUUCGGGUUGUCAUGCCAAUGGCACUGCCCGGUAGCUAAAUGCGGAAGAGAUAAGUGCUGAAAGCAUCUAAGCACGAAACUUGCCCCGAGAUGAGUUCUCCCUGACCCUUUAAGGGUCCUGAAGGAACGUUGAAGACGACGACGUUGAUAGGCCGGGUGUGUAAGCGCAGCGAUGCGUUGAGCUAACCGGUACUAAUGAACCGUGAGGCUUAACCUUACAACGCCGAAGCUGUU